This 3583-nucleotide long non-coding RNA is filed under the name Homo sapiens (human). Its description in RNAcentral is "HSALNT0334669". Lineage: Eukaryota; Metazoa; Chordata; Mammalia; Primates; Hominidae. The record is from RNAcentral.
UCCCUCCUGCUGAACUCUUCCUACCCGGGCUCUGAACACAUCCCUGAGCUGCAGAGCUGACGUCUGGGUGACAGUGAAACGGGGUAUUCAUUUGUACCAAAACAAACAAACAAACAAACAAAACCUGGAAUGACGGUGUGUGGAUUUCUUGUGUGCUUAUUCGUAGGAUUGAGAAAGGGUGAGGCUAAGGUCCCGAGCCUUCGUGAAGCAAUGGAGAAAGUGCCGUCCCAAGGCUCAGUUCCACACGGCGCUGUGAGGCUGAAGGGGCUCACUGGAAGUUCCCCUCACAGGACGCCACCUCACCUGAAACCCUCUUUUUCUGCUACCAUCCAAGGGACAAGAUCUCCUGAGUUGUCGAAGACUCACUCCGGAAGAAAACCCUCUCAGGCAGUUACUGAGGGACUGUGGUCUGGACUAGAACGUGUUUUUCUCAGUGACACCUCUAGAGGGCAGCACUCAACGGAGUCCCACAGACACCUCCCUGCAUUUCCUCCUCAGACACUGGGUGGAUGAUAUGGUAACACUGGGGAAUGCUUGGGUGUUCUCCUGGAAGCUCCUUAUUUUAAUCACCUGUUUACUUGUCUCCAUUCUUAUAGAUAUGUAGGCUACCCGAGGGCAGAGACUGAGUCUGUCUUGUUCACUGUCUACCUCCAGAACCUCACACAGAAUCUGGCACUUAGUAGGUGCACAACAAAAUAAUCAUUGAAUUAGUAUACUGAGUCUUUAACAGAGUCUCUUUCUGUUUAUUGAGUUGACACGAUGUAUCCAAAAGCAGCUGAAUGCACAACUCAAACUGUCAUCCAAGCACACAAAGAAGGCAUUGAUGUGAGUAUUAAACAGAUUUGUUUUUAUUGUGUUAAGGAUACAUUUAAAAGUAUUUUUCUAGUGACCUAGAUGAGAGGGUAUGAGGCAGUAUGAGAAGAUUUACAAGAUCACUGCUUAGUUUGUUAAAGACUGUCAUGCUCGUGGUUCAACAACUUAAUUUAAGGUCCUAAUGCGUUUAUAAGCUACAUGGUCCUUUCCAUAGCUCCUUCCCAUUGAAAGAGGUACAGUCAAUUUAGCAAAAAGCCACCCCCACAUGUUUCAGGGCCACAAGACUGCCUACUAGAUUCUAAGAAAAAUGGCAAGUCAUCCUCUUAUCACAGGGUAACUGGUUAAUAUGUUCCUUUUCAAGGUUGGCAUUAAAAGUUUAACAAAAUAUUUCAGCAGAUUUUGCUCUCUUUACAAGUCAGUAGAAACUGGCUUUUUGAAGACACUCACUUUUCAUGACUUGGAUGUAAGGACUAAAGCAGAUGAGAAAUCUCUGCUGGGAGCAUAGCUGGGAGGGGAUGUCUGUGAAGGGCAGGCUGAUGGCACUAUGGAAAGCUUCUAUUACUGGGUUGCCACAUAAAAUGCAGGGAACCCAGGAAAAUGUGCAGUUCAGGCAAAGAAUCAAUAUCUUUUUAGUAUAAGUAUGUCCCAAGCACUGUAGGUAACAUGAUUAUACAAAAAAAGUAUUGAUUGUUCAUCUGAAUUUCAUAUUUACUUGGGUGUCUUGUAUUUUAUCUGCCAAAUCUAGCCACCGUAUUUGCAUACUUUUUCCUCUCUGCGUCACUCAGGUUGCCCUUCUUGACCUCUGGGCCUUUGCACAUGGUAAUUGUCCUGACUGGAAUGCACUACUUUCACCUACCAUGGUAUUUUCUCUACUAUGUCUUCUUUCCCUACACUGUUUUGACAUGAUGUAUUCAAUAUCAGCUUCCCCACUAGACCCUGAGUUCCUGAGGGGAAAGCCUUCUUCUUGUUUGAUUCCAGUCCUCAUUGUCUGGCACAAAACCUGGUCAUUGUAGGAGCUCCUAAAAUAAGAUAGUUUUUAAAUUUACAUGGAAGAAUUCUAGCAAAUACAAAAGUAGACAGAAUAAUAUAACUAAGUUGAAAGUACCCAUGACCUGGAUUCACCGAUUGACAAAAGCCUUUCUUCAUCUACACCAUGCAGUGGGUUAUGUUGGCCCCCACAGAAGAUAGGUCCAUAUCCAAACCCCUGGAUCCUGUAAAUGUGACCUUAUUUGGAAAAAAGCUCUUUGCAGAUGAAGUUAAGGAACUUGAGAUGAGACCAUCCUGGUAUAUUUAAAUAGGCCCUAAAUCCAGUGAGAAGUGUACCCACAACAGAGAAGACACAGACACAAAGAGGGUGAGGUGCUGGAAGCCCCAUGCAGAAAGUAGAGUGAUGUGGCCAAGAUCCAAGGAAGUCCAGAAAUGCCAAGAGCCCCCAGAAGCUGUAGGAUGCAGGAAAGGAUUGUUCUCUAGAGCUUCCAGGGGAAUGUGGACCUCACAACUUGACUUCUGGCCUUCAGAAUUUCUAUUGUUUCAAGCCACCAUGUUUGUAGGAAUCUGUGACAGAAGCCACAAGAAAACAGUACAAACUUCUACUCCCCCCACUACCAAGGGAUUUUUUUGAAACAAAUUCCAGACAGCAUAUCAUUUCUUCUGUACAUACUACUGUUUAUCUCUAGAAAGGAAGAACUACCUGUUGAAACAUAAUCACACUAUUCUCUUAUCAUAUUAAAAUUCUAUAAUUCCUUAGUUUCAUCAAAGCUUCAGCAUUCUAGUUCAUGUAAGUGUCCCAUACCCGUAAUCACAGCACAGGGGAGCAGACACAGUGGCCCUCAGGUGUUCUUAGAGGCUCACUGGGGCUCUGAGGAGGGCACAGAGGACAGCCCAAUGCUCCGGAGAAGCAAUAGGGUAGAUUUAAUUGUGAUCACUGGGAAGGAGCUUGCCAGGCAGGGCUAGCAAAUGCACCCAGGCAGGAAGGCAAGAGGCUCCACCAUGCUCAGAGGGUUGAUUGGGCUGGAGAUCAAGGAGUGAGGACGGGUGUGAGGAUACCUUCUAUAUGCAGUCAGGACUCACUGCAGAAUUCUGUGAUUUUUUUUUCCAAUUUGUAUUUUAGAAAAGCUAUGCUGGUUGUAAGUGGAGAAGAGACUAGAGCAAAGUGAAGCUGCAGGAAAAAGCUGAGACAGGUUACAACGGGAGUGCCAGAGAGAUGUCACUUAAAAUGAGAACUUCUCAGGGUAAGUCUCAUGGUGUUCAUGGCCUUUAAAGUAGGUUCUGAGACACAAUUUUAUGCAGAGGUCCCUUUCUGUGUUCUUCCAAGCCUACAGUAUUACUACAAUAUGACCUUAUCACAUGACCCAUGAAAGAAAACAACUCAAGGUAAUGGCCACAUCUAUUUCUAUUCUUUUCGUCUUAUUCAUGUUCUUGUGUGUCCUUGGAUGGGGAAGGCUGUGUGGGAUCCUGAGCUGAUGACCUCAGCUCAUUCACGGUGCCCCAAGCAUGAAAACAAGGAAAGGGCAUUCUCAGGGCACUGGGGAUGGUUCCUCUAGCAGAUACUCUGAGAGGUCUGGCCUUUUAGCCUGGAGAUAGUUGCCAGACCUGUUCAGGGAGCCACAUCCCUUCCACUUUAACCACCUUCUCCCUCUCCACCACCACAGCUACCACCCCACACACACAUAGGCAUCGCCUGGUGUUAAAAUCUUCAACUGUGGCCGGGCACGGUGGCUCACACCUGUAAUCCCAGCACUUUGGGAGGCCGAGGCGGGCGGAUCACGAG